RNAcentral lists this ribosomal RNA (460 nucleotides) under uncultured bacterium. Its description in RNAcentral is "partial 16S ribosomal RNA". It matches the Rfam family "Bacterial small subunit ribosomal RNA", at positions 338 to 795 of the family's 1533-position model. The record is from RNAcentral.
CCUACGGGGGGCAGCAGUGAGGAAUAUUGGUCAAUGGGCGCAAGCCUGAACCAGCCAAGUCGCGUGAGGGAUGACGGUCCUAUGGAUUGUAAACCUCUUUUGUCGGGGAGCAAGGCCCGCCACGUGUGGCGGGAAGGAGAGUACCCGAAGAAAAAGCAUCGGCUAACUCCGUGCCAGCAGCCGCGGUAAUACGGAGGAUGCGAGUGUUAUCCGGAUUUAUUGGGUUUAAAGGGUGCGUAGGCGGAAGGUUAAGUCAGCGGUCAAAUGUCGGUGCUCAACACCGGCCUGCCGUUGAAACUGGUCGUCUUGAGUGAGCGAGAAGUAUGCGGAAUGCGUGGUGUAGCGGUGAAAUGCAUAGAUAUCACGCAGAACUCCGAUUGCGAAGGCAGCAUACCGGCGCUCAACUGACGCUGAGGCACGAAAGCGUGGGGAUCGAACAGGAUUAGAUACCCCAGUAGUC